Molecule: ribosomal RNA, 449 nt
Filed under: Babesia venatorum (nom. ined.)
Lineage: Eukaryota; Apicomplexa; Aconoidasida; Piroplasmida; Babesiidae
Description: SSU rRNA
Rfam family: Eukaryotic small subunit ribosomal RNA
Source: RNAcentral
UGACCUAAACCCUCACCAGAGUAACAAUUGGAGGGCAAGUCUGGUGCCAGCAGCCGCGGUAAUUCCAGCUCCAAUAGCGUAUAUUAAACUUGUUGCAGUUAAAAAGCUCGUAGUUGAAUUUCUGCGUUAUCGAGUUAUUGACUCUUGUCUUUAAUCGAUUUCGCUUUUGGGAUUUAUCCCUUUUUACUUUGAGAAAAUUAGAGUGUUUCAAGCAGACUUUUGUCUUGAAUACUUCAGCAUGGAAUAAUAGAGUAGGACUUUGGUUCUAUUUUGUUGGUUUUUGAACCUUAGUAAUGGUUAAUAGGAACGGUUGGGGGCAUUCGUAUUUAACUGUCAGAGGUGAAAUUCUUAGAUUUGUUAAAGACGAACUACUGCGAAAGCAUUUGCCAAGGACGUUUCCAUUAAUCAAGAACGAAAGUUAGGGGAUCGAAGACGAUCAGAUACCGUCG